This 463-nucleotide ribosomal RNA is filed under the name uncultured bacterium. Its description in RNAcentral is "partial 16S ribosomal RNA". It matches the Rfam family "Bacterial small subunit ribosomal RNA", at positions 28 to 505 of the family's 1533-position model. The record is from RNAcentral.
GACGAACGCUGGCGGCGUGCUUAACACAUGCAAGUCGAACGGAAAGGCCCUGCUUGCAGGGUCCUCGAGUGGCGAACGGGUGAGUAACACGUGGGUGAUCUGCCCUACACUUCGGGAUAAGCCUGGGAAACUGGGUCUAAUACCGGAUAGGAGCCAUUUUUAGUGUGAUGGUUGGAAAGUUUUUUCGGUGUAGGAUGAGCUCGCGGCCUAUCAGCUUGUUGGUGGGGUAAUGGCCUACCAAGGCGGCGACGGGUAGCCGGCCUGAGAGGGUGGACGGCCACCUGGGGGCUGGGGUACGGCCCAGACUCCUCCGGGAGGCAGGGGUGGGGAAUUUUGCCCAAUGGGCGCAAGCCUGAUGCAGCGACCCCGCGUGGGGGAUGACGGCCUUCGGGUUGUAAACUCCUUUCGCUAGGGACGAAGCUUUUUGUGGCGGUACCUAGAUAAGAAGCACCGGCUAACUACG